RNAcentral lists this ribosomal RNA (604 nucleotides) under Libnetis sp. UPOL A00581. Its description in RNAcentral is "partial 16S ribosomal RNA". The stretch from base 378 to 536 matches the Rfam family "Bacterial large subunit ribosomal RNA", at positions 2473 to 2632 of the family's 2925-position model. The record is from RNAcentral. Lineage: Eukaryota; Metazoa; Arthropoda; Insecta; Coleoptera; Lycidae.
CAUGUCUUUUUGAUAAUAAUUUUAAGUCUAAUCUGCUCAAUGAUAAUUUAAAUUGCCGCAGUAUUUUGACUGUGCAAAGGUAGCAUAAUAAUUAGUUUCUUAAUUAGGAACUUGAAUGAAGGAUUGGACAAGAAAGCAGCUGUCUCUUUUUAAUUUUUAUAUAAUUUUAUUUUUGAGUUAAAAAGCUUAAAUUUUUUUAAAAGACGAGAAGACCCUAUAGAGUUUAAUAAAUUAAUUUGUUAAAUUAUUAGAAAUAAUAUUAAAUUAAUUUAUUUGAUUGGGGUGAUUGAAAGAUUAAAGUAAUUCUUUUAUAAUUGGAUUGAUGAUUAUUAAAUUUAAAUUCUUAAAUUUUAAAGAUUAAAAUAAAUUACCUUAGGGAUAACAGCGUAAUUUUUCUUUAAAGUUCUUAUUGAAAGGAAAGUUUGCGACCUCGAUGUUGGAUUAAAAUUAAUUUUUGGUGAAGAAGCUAAUAAAUUAGGUCUGUUCGACCUUUAAAAUUUUACAUGAUCUGAGUUUAAACCGGUGUAAGCCAGGUUGGAUUCUAUCUUUAAUUUUAUAAUAUAUUUUAGUACGAAAGGACCAAAUAUUUAUUAAAUAUUAAUUG